RNAcentral lists this transfer RNA (74 nucleotides) under Thermoleophilia bacterium. Its description in RNAcentral is "tRNA-Asp". It matches the Rfam family "tRNA". Rfam says of the family: Transfer RNA (tRNA) molecules are approximately 80 nucleotides in length. Lineage: Bacteria; Bacillati; Actinomycetota; Thermoleophilia. The record is from RNAcentral.
GGGGGCGUAGCUCAGGCGCGGAGAGCACUCGCUUGUCAGGCGAGAGGUCGCCGGUUCGAGUCCGGUCGUCCCCG